Non-coding RNA from Hordeum vulgare subsp. vulgare (domesticated barley), 124 nucleotides. NCBI's taxonomy places the organism in Eukaryota, Viridiplantae, Streptophyta, Magnoliopsida, Poales, Poaceae. The record is from Rfam.
AGUAUACUACCUCCGUCCACAAAUACUUGUCCUAGAGAUGAAUGAAACUAGACUUAUUUUAAUUGUAGAUACAUUCAUUAUAUGCAUUUUUAGGACAAGUAUUUCCGGACGAAGGAAGUAUGAU